This 253-nucleotide ribosomal RNA is filed under the name uncultured bacterium. RNAcentral's name for it is "partial 16S ribosomal RNA". It matches the Rfam family "Bacterial small subunit ribosomal RNA", at positions 524 to 776 of the family's 1533-position model. The record is from RNAcentral.
UACGUAGGGUCCGAGCGUUGUCCGGAAUUAUUGGGCGUAAAGGGCUCGUAGGCGGUUCGUCACGUCGGGAGUGAAAACUCGGAGCUUAACUCCGAGCCUGCUUCCGAUACGGGCAGACUAGAGGUAGGCAGGGGAGAGCGGAACUCCUGGUGUAGCGGUGGAAUGCGCAGAUAUCAGGAAGAACACCGGUGGCGAAGGCGGCUCUCUGGGCCUUACCUGGCGCUGAGGAGCGAAAGCGUGGGGAGCGAACAGG